This 468-nucleotide ribosomal RNA is filed under the name uncultured bacterium. RNAcentral's name for it is "partial 16S ribosomal RNA". It matches the Rfam family "Bacterial small subunit ribosomal RNA", at positions 28 to 507 of the family's 1533-position model. The record is from RNAcentral.
GACGAACGCUGGCGGCGUACUUAACACAUGCAAGUCGAACGGAAAGGCCCUGCUUUUGUGGGGUGCUCGAGUGGCGAACGGGUGAGUAACGCGUGAGUAACCUGCCCUUGACUUUGGGAUAACUUCAGGAAACUGGGGCUAAUACCGGAUAGGAGCUCCUGCUGCAUGGUGGGGGUUGGAAAGUUUCGGCGGUUGGGGAUGGACUCGCGGCUUAUCAGCUUGUUGGUGGGGUAGUGGCUUACCAAGGCUUUGACGGGUAGCCGGCCUGAGAGGGUGACCGGCCACAUUGGGACUGAGAUACGGCCCAGACUCCUACGGGAGGCAGCAGUGGGGAAUAUUGCACAAUGGGCGGAAGCCUGAUGCAGCAACGCCGCGUGCGGGAUGACGGCCUUCGGGUUGUAAACCGCUUUCGCCUGUGACGAAGCGUGAGUGACGGUAAUGGGUAAAGAAGCACCGGCUAACUACGUG